GACGAACGCUGGCGGCGUGCCUAAUACAUGCAAGUCGAACGCACUCUCGUUUAGAUUGAAGGAGCUUGCUCCUGAUUGAUAAACAUUUGAGUGAGUGGCGGACGGGUGAGUAACACGUGGGUAACCUGCCCUAAAGUGGGGGAUAACAUUUGGAAACAGAUGCUAAUACCGCAUAAAACCUAAACACCGCAUGGUGUAGGGUUGAAAGAUGGUUUCGGCUAUCACUUUAGGAUGGACCCGCGGUGCAUUAGUUAGCUGGUGAGGUAAAGGCUCACCAAGACCGUGAUGCAUAGCCGACCUGAGAGGGUAAUCGGCCACACUGGGACUGAGACACGGCCCAGACUCCUACGGGAGGCAGCAGUAGGGAAUCUUCCACAAUGGACGAAAGUCUGAUGGAGCAACGCCGCGUGAGUGAAGAAGGUUUUCGGAUCGUAAACUCUGUUGUUGGUAGAAGAAUGUAUCUGAUAGUAACUGAUCAGGUAGUGACGGUA
Molecule: ribosomal RNA, 491 nt
Filed under: uncultured bacterium
Lineage: Bacteria
Description: bacterial SSU rRNA
Rfam family: Bacterial small subunit ribosomal RNA
Source: RNAcentral